CAACUGACGCUCAUGCACGAAGGCGUGGGGAUCAAACAGGAUUAGAUACCCUGGUAGUCCACGCAGUAAACGAUGAUUACUGGCUGUUUGCGAUACAAUGUAAGCGGCUGAGCGAAAGCGUUAAGUAAUCCACCUGGGGAGUACGUUCGCAAGAAUGAAACUCAAAGGAAUUGACGGGGGCCCGCACAAGCGGAGGAACAUGUGGUUUAAUUCGAUGAUACGCGAGGAACCUUACCCGGGCUUGAAAUGCAUCUGACGGGGCCGGAAACGGUCUUUCCCAGCGAUGGGCAGAUGUGUAGGUGCUGCAUGGUUGUCGUCAGCUCGUGCCGUGAGGUGUCGGCUUAAGUGCCAUAACGAGCGCAACCCUCAUCGUCAGUUACCAUCGGGUAAAGCCGGGGACUCUGACGAGACUGCCAUCGUAAGAUGCGAGGAAGGUGGGGAUGACGUCAAAUCAGCACGGCCCUUAUGUCCGGGGCGACGCACGUGUUACAAUGGGCGGUACAGCGGGGAGCUACCUGGCGACAGGGAGCCGAUCCCGAAAGCCGCUCACAGUUCGGAUCGGAGUCUGCAACUCGACUCCGUGAAGGCGGAUUCGCUAGUAAUCGCGCAUCAGCCACGGCGCGGUGAAUACGUUCCCGGGCCUUGUACACACCGCCCGUCAAGCCAUGGGAGUCGGGGGUACCUGAAGUUCGUAACCCUUCGGGGAGCGACCUAGGGUAAGACCGGUGACUGGGGCUAAGUCGU
RNAcentral lists this ribosomal RNA (744 nucleotides) under uncultured bacterium. Its description in RNAcentral is "bacterial SSU rRNA". It matches the Rfam family "Bacterial small subunit ribosomal RNA", at positions 737 to 1489 of the family's 1533-position model. The record is from RNAcentral.